UAUGAAGCGAUGAGAAAGAGAGUACGAUUCUCCCUCUGCAUACAGAGAGUCUGUAACGGUGAGAGCAGACAGCACGUUGAAUCGGAAGUGGACUUUCGAGCUGUGUUUCAGAACCCUAGUAUGAAACACCGUAGCCUUGGCGAUAACAGGUUAAGAGAUCUUAAAGAAUAUCUUUAAGAUAAUUAGGGUGGCACCACGGUUCAUUCGUCCCUACG
RNAcentral lists this non-coding RNA (215 nucleotides) under Pontibacillus chungwhensis. RNAcentral describes it as "T-box sequence". It matches the Rfam family "T-box leader". Rfam says of the family: Uncharged tRNA acts as the effector for transcription antitermination of genes in the T-box leader family. T-boxes are found upstream of many aminoacyl-tRNA synthetase genes and some amino acid biosynthetic genes usually in Gram-positive bacteria. The anticodon of a specific tRNA base pairs to a specifier sequence within the T-box motif, and the NCCA acceptor tail of the tRNA base pairs to a conserved bulge in the T-box antiterminator hairpin. The record is from RNAcentral. Lineage: Bacteria; Bacillati; Bacillota; Bacilli; Caryophanales; Bacillaceae.